RNAcentral lists this unclassified non-coding RNA (238 nucleotides) under Hevea brasiliensis (rubber tree). Lineage: Eukaryota; Viridiplantae; Streptophyta; Magnoliopsida; Malpighiales; Euphorbiaceae. The record is from RNAcentral.
AGGCCGCGAAAUGACAACAAGGGGAAUGAAUCUCUGGCCGGCCCGGGAAAAGAGAAGACAGGGGAGCUGGUAAGGGAAGGCAGCAGUGGUAGUGAUAGGAGGAGCAGCGGCGCUUAGGCGAGGGAGAGGGAGGUGAAGAACGGAGUCCAUGGUGGUUGUAGUGGGAGAAAGGCGAGAAUAGAGAAUGGUGACAGAGAUGUUUUGGAGAUGGAGAUAAAAGUGCAAGUGAAUGGGCCCA